CCCCGCGCAGCCGCACGGGCCGCCACGCCGCGCACGCCGUGCGGACCGCGCCCGAGCGGCCUGCGGGGCGGCCCUGCGGCCUGGCCCCCCGCGCUCCGGGGGCUCCGAGCGAGCGGCGACAGCCGCGGUAUGCAGGACGGCCCCGACUAGCGCGCCGAGCCCCGGGAGGCCUGGCGCGGAGGCGGGGGCGGGCGCGGCGGAGGCGGAGCCCGCUCGGGGCCCGCCCGCCCGCCGGGGGAGCCGCCGGCAGUGGCCGAGGAGGCGGCGCGGCGGACGGCGGCCCGAGAGUAGCGCCCGCGCUGCGGCCCGCGGGACCGCGCCGCGACCGCCCGGGCUCGGCCCGGAGGAGCGCCCGCCGCUGCCGCCGCCGCGCGCUUGGAGCGAGAGUGAAGCUCUUAGCCUGUUGCUCACCACAUCUCACCCUCGAGAUGCUCCUACUGUGGCAGAGAGGCAGAUGUUCAGAGAUAUGAACGUGAUUUCUGAUGAAACUGGAUUGGAAUAA
This 502-nucleotide long non-coding RNA is filed under the name Castor canadensis (American beaver). Its description in RNAcentral is "lncRNA (ENSCCNG00000024611.1)". Lineage: Eukaryota; Metazoa; Chordata; Mammalia; Rodentia; Castoridae. The record is from RNAcentral.